RNAcentral lists this non-coding RNA (181 nucleotides) under Virgibacillus necropolis. RNAcentral describes it as "T-box sequence". It matches the Rfam family "T-box leader". From Rfam's summary of the family: Uncharged tRNA acts as the effector for transcription antitermination of genes in the T-box leader family. T-boxes are found upstream of many aminoacyl-tRNA synthetase genes and some amino acid biosynthetic genes usually in Gram-positive bacteria. Lineage: Bacteria; Bacillati; Bacillota; Bacilli; Caryophanales; Bacillaceae. The record is from RNAcentral.
ACCAUAGCAAUGAAAAAGGCGUAGUACAAUUACCCGAUGAUUUUUAGAGAGCUUGUGGUUGGUGCGAACAAGUAUCAAGGUAUAUUGGAAUUGGGCUUUGGAGCUAGUCAGAAAUUUAAAGUGAUCUAACUGUCUAACAGUAAGAUAAUUAGGGUGGCACCGCGGUUCAUUCGUCCCUUGU